GAGUUUGAUCACGGCUCAGAACGUACGCUGGCGGCACGCCUAACACAUGCAAGUCGAACGAAGUAGCAAUACUUAGUGGCAGACGGGUGAGUAACAUGUGGGUAUCUACCCUUUGGCCUGGAAUAACACGAGGAAACUUGUGCUAAUACCGGAUAAGUCUUUACGGAGAAAGCUUUAUGCACCAUUGGAUGAGCCCGCACUUGAUUAGUUUGUUGGUAGGGUAAUGGCCUACCAAGACUAUGAUCAAUAGCUGAUUUGAGAGGAUGAUCAGCCACAUUGGGACUGAGACACGGCCCAAACUCCUACGGGAGGCAGCAGUGGGGAAUCUUGCACAAUGGAGGAAACUCUGAUGCAGCGAUGCCGCGUGAGUGAAGAAGGCCCUUGGGUUGUAAAGCUCUUUCGUCGGGGAAGAAAAUGACUGUACCCGAAUAAGAAGGUCCGGCUAACUUCGUGCCAGCAGCCGCGGUAAUACGAAGGGACCUAGCGUAGUUCGGAAUUACUGGGCUUAAAGAGUUCGUAGGUGGUUGAAAAAGUUAGUGGUGAAAUCCCAGAGCUUAACUCUGGAACUGCCAUUAAAACUUUUCAGCUAGAGUAUGAUAGAGGAAAGCAGAAUUUCUAGUGUAGAGGUGAAAUUCGUAGAUAUUAGAAAGAAUACCAAUUGCGAAGGCAGCUUUCUGGAUCAUUACUGACACUGAGGAACGAAAGCAUGGGUAGCGAAGAGGAUUAGAUACCCUCGUAGUCCAUGCCGUAAACGAUGUGUGUUAGACGUUGGAAAUUUAUUUUCAGUGUCGCAGCGAAAGCGAUAAACACACCGCCUGGGGAGUACGACCGCAAGGUUAAAACUCAAAUGAAUUGACGGGGACCCGCACAAGUAGUGGAGCAUGUGGUUUAAUUCGAAGAUACGCGCAGAACCUUACCAACACUUGACAUGUUCGUCGCGACUCUAAGAGAUUAGAGUUUUCGGUUCGGCCGGACGAAACACAGGUGCUGCAUGGCUGUCGUCAGCUCGUGUCGUGAGAUGUUCGGUUAAGUCCGGCAACGAGCGCAACCCACAUCUUUAGUUGCCAGCAGGUUAAGCUGGGCACUCUAGAGAAACUGCCCGUGAUAAGCGGGAGGAAGGUGUGGAUGACGUCAAGUCCUCAUGGCCCUUACGGGUUGGGCUACACACGUGCUACAAUGGCAGUGACAAUGGGUUAAUCCCAAAAAGCUGUCUCAGUUCGGAUUGGGGUCUGCAACUCGACCCCAUGAAGUCGGAAUCGCUAGUAAUCGCGUAACAGCAUGACGCGGUGAAUACGUUCCCGGGCCUUGUACACACCGCCCGUCACACCAUGGGAGUUGGUUCUACCCGACGACGCUGCGCUAACCCUUCGGGGAGGCAGGCGGCCACGGUAGGAUCAGCGACUGGGGUGAAGUCGUAACAAGGUAACC
RNAcentral lists this ribosomal RNA (1428 nucleotides) under uncultured marine bacterium. RNAcentral describes it as "16S ribosomal RNA". It matches the Rfam family "Bacterial small subunit ribosomal RNA". The record is from RNAcentral.